GGCCGAGAGGACUAAAGAGAGGCUCAAGCAGGUAUUGGUUUUAAAUUCCGAUCCUAAUAACUAUUAUUGCUGUGUGCGUUGAGUAUUAUCUUUCAGUUCUCUUGUGCU
This 108-nucleotide microRNA precursor is filed under the name Cucumis sativus (cucumber). RNAcentral describes it as "miR11331 stem-loop (cst-MIR11331)". The record is from miRBase by way of RNAcentral. Lineage: Eukaryota; Viridiplantae; Streptophyta; Magnoliopsida; Cucurbitales; Cucurbitaceae.